GCACAAGCGGUGGAGCAUGUGGUUCAAUUCGACGCAACGCGAAGAACCUUACCCAGGCUUGAACAGCGAGUGACCAUUCCCGAAAGGGAACUUCCGCAAGGACACUCGUAGAGGUGCUGCAUGGCUGUCGUCAGCUCGUGUCGUGAGAUGUUGGGUUAAGUCCCGCAACGAGCGCAACCCUUGUCUACUGUUGCCAUCAGGUUAAGCUGGGCACUCUGUAGAGACUGCCGGUGAUAAACCGGAGGAAGGUGGGGAUGACGUCAAGUCAGCAUGGCCUUUAUGUCUGGGGCUACACACGUGCUACAAUGGCCGGUACAAACCGUCGCAAAACCGUAAGGUCGAGCUAAUCGGAGAAAGCCGGUCUCAGUUCGGAUAGCAGGCUGCAACUCGCCUGCUUGAAGUUGGAAUCGCUAGUAAUCGCGGAUCAGCACGCCGCGGUGAAUACGUUCCCGGGC
This 455-nucleotide ribosomal RNA is filed under the name uncultured bacterium. RNAcentral's name for it is "bacterial SSU rRNA". It matches the Rfam family "Bacterial small subunit ribosomal RNA", at positions 923 to 1379 of the family's 1533-position model. The record is from RNAcentral.